GAUGAAGAACGUAGCGAAAUGCGAUACUUGGUGUGAAUUGCAGAAUCCCGUGAACCAUCGAGUUUUUGAACGCAAGUUGCGCCCGAAGCCAUUAGGCCGAGGGCACGCCUGCCUGGGCGUCACACGUCGUUGCCCCCCCCAUCUACUCCUUCGGGAUUGCGGGGGGCGGAUGAUGGCCUCCCGUGCGCCUCGCCGCGCGGUUGGCAUAAAUGCCAAGUCCUCGGCGACGCACGCCACGACAAUCGGUGGUUGCGAAACCUCGGUUGCCCGUCGUGUGCGGUCGUCGCGCAUCGAGGGCUCGAAAAAAUUGCCGGGUUCCGGCUCGGCUUUCAACGCGACCCCAGGUCAGGCGGGGUUACCCGCUGAAUUUAAGCAUAUCAAUAAGCGGAGGA
RNAcentral lists this unclassified non-coding RNA (392 nucleotides) under soil metagenome. Its description in RNAcentral is "partial contains 5.8S ribosomal RNA, internal transcribed spacer 2, and large subunit ribosomal RNA". The stretch from base 1 to 122 matches the Rfam family "5.8S ribosomal RNA", at positions 35 to 154 of the family's 154-position model. The record is from RNAcentral.